Long non-coding RNA from Ctenopharyngodon idella (grass carp), 815 nucleotides. RefSeq lists it as uncharacterized. NCBI's taxonomy places the organism in Eukaryota, Metazoa, Chordata, Actinopteri, Cypriniformes, Xenocyprididae. The transcript is spliced from 3 exons. The record is from RefSeq and is a predicted model, not a curated record.
ACCGUAAAUAAAAACCCAAUUUAAUUGCACAAGAUUUUUUUUAAUGAGGUGCCAGAUGUCCACGUGAGAAACAAUUACUGUCCGAAUCGUGACAGAAUUUACCUUUGAGUUUAUAAUCAAUGAACAAAAUGUCAGCAAACUAACUGUUCUGCCAACAGAAAAUCUUUGCACAGGUGGAGGAUAGUGGUCCAUGGAGGAAUAGAUGGCUUCAGCAGGAUGAUUGUGUUCCUAAAGCUGCUACAGGAAACAGUGCUUCUGUUGUGCUGCAGUUUCAUUGAAGCUGUGAACCGCUUUGGAUUCUCCUCCAGAGUGCGAUCCGAUAAGGGCCGGGAGAAUGUUGACGUGGCCUACUUCAUGGUGUCCAAUCGAGGGGAAAACCCACACUCCCACAUCACAGGGCGCAGGGUCCAUAACCAAAGGAUUGAGAGACUGUGGAGGGAUGUUUCCCAGCAUGUUCUGGACCUGUUCUCCUGUCUCUUCCUUGAUCUGGAGGCAGAUGGCACGUUAAAUCCUGACAAUGAGCUGCAUCUUUUUGCUCUGCAUUGGACCUAUCUGCCACAGCUUCACAGGCAUCUUGGGUUUUUCCAGGAGGGAAUAAUCAUGAAAUCAAAACAGCAGGCCACCAGUCUCCACUGCAACUCUGGACAAGCUUCCAACAUAUUCAAGAUCCACUCCGGGUGCUUUCAAAUUAAGUGGAUGACUACUAUGGUGUGGACUGGGAAGGACCACACUCCUGUGAGGAAGAGGGUGUGAAGAUCCCCGAGGUUCAACUACCACGAGAACUUACCCAUGAGGAAACUGCAACCUUGCCUCGU